CCCUGGUUUUAAACUAACGGUCGCUUUUUAAACCAACGGUCGCUUUACUUUACUGCUGCGAAACUUAACAUAACUUUAUAUUUUACUGUGUAUACCGGCUUUUACGGUGUCUGACUGGAAGGAACCGUCUUUACCAAGUGGACUUACUUUCCCAAAAUAGGUAUAUAUCCCCCGGCAUGCCGUGAAUGCCUCCAGCUCAUGACCAUGUUGAGGUAACAGUCGGACAAGUGGCUCCACUGAUCACUGCAGACUGACAGCAGACUAUUUGACCAACAUUCAGACCUUCAUUAUGCAACUGCAUCCUGAUUUUGACAAGGUAGGUAUCAUGAGCCAGAGGGUUUGGAGAUUUAGAUCAAAUUAAAGCUGAAACUAUUAGUUGAUUAAUCGUUUUAUUAGUUUUGGUUGGCAACUAUUUAGAUGAUCAAUCAAU
Molecule: long non-coding RNA, 430 nt
Organism: Sebastes umbrosus (honeycomb rockfish)
Lineage: Eukaryota; Metazoa; Chordata; Actinopteri; Perciformes; Sebastidae
Exons: 2
Source: RefSeq, a predicted model, not a curated record